RNAcentral lists this unclassified non-coding RNA (352 nucleotides) under soil metagenome. RNAcentral describes it as "partial contains 5.8S ribosomal RNA, internal transcribed spacer 2, and large subunit ribosomal RNA". The stretch from base 1 to 120 matches the Rfam family "5.8S ribosomal RNA", at positions 35 to 154 of the family's 154-position model. The record is from RNAcentral.
GAUGAAGAACGUAGUGAAAUGCGAUAAGUAAUGUGAAUUGCAGAAUUCAGUGAAUCAUCGAAUCUUUGAACGCACAUUGCGCCCGCCAGUAUUCUGGCGGGCAUGCCUGUUCGAGCGUCAUUACAACCCUCAGGCCCCCGGGCCUGGCGUUGGGGAUCGGCGGAGCCCCCCGUGGGCACACGCCGUCCCCCAAAUGCAGUGGCGGUCCCGCCGCAGCUUCCAUCGCGUAGUAGCUAACACCUCGCGACUGGAGAGCGGCGCGGCCACGCCGUAAAACACCCAACUCUUCUGAAGUUGACCUCGAAUCAGGUAGGAAUACCCGCUGAACUUAAGCAUAUCAAUAAGCGGAGGA